RNAcentral lists this ribosomal RNA (717 nucleotides) under Bacillus sp. (in: firmicutes). Its description in RNAcentral is "bacterial SSU rRNA". It matches the Rfam family "Bacterial small subunit ribosomal RNA", at positions 56 to 756 of the family's 1533-position model. Lineage: Bacteria; Bacillati; Bacillota; Bacilli; Caryophanales; Bacillaceae. The record is from RNAcentral. RNAcentral also lists the same sequence under 1 other name.
UGCAGUCGAGCGGACAGAUGGGAGCUUGCUCCCUGAUGUUAGCGGCGGACGGGUGAGUAACACGUGGGUAACCUGCCUGUAAGACUGGGAUAACUCCGGGAAACCGGGGCUAAUACCGGAUGGUUGUUUGAACCGCAUGGUUCAGACAUAAAAGGUGGCUUCGGCUACCACUUACAGAUGGACCCGCGGCGCAUUAGCUAGUUGGUGAGGUAACGGCUCACCAAGGCGACGAUGCGUAGCCGACCUGAGAGGGUGAUCGGCCACACUGGGACUGAGACACGGCCCAGACUCCUACGGGAGGCAGCAGUAGGGAAUCUUCCGCAAUGGACGAAAGUCUGACGGAGCAACGCCGCGUGAGUGAUGAAGGUUUUCGGAUCGUAAAGCUCUGUUGUUAGGGAAGAACAAGUGCCGUUCAAAUAGGGCGGCACCUUGACGGUACCUAACCAGAAAGCCACGGCUAACUACGUGCCAGCAGCCGCGGUAAUACGUAGGUGGCAAGCGUUGUCCGGAAUUAUUGGGCGUAAAGGGCUCGCAGGCGGUUUCUUAAGUCUGAUGUGAAAGCCCCCGGCUCAACCGGGGAGGGUCAUUGGAAACUGGGGAACUUGAGUGCAGAAGAGGAGAGUGGAAUUCCACGUGUAGCGGUGAAAUGCGUAGAGAUGUGGAGGAACACCAGUGGCGAAGGCGACUCUCUGGUCUGUAACUGACGCUGAGGAGCGA